UCUGAAAUUCUCAGAAGGAAUUAAAAGACUGCGGAAGACAAAAGGGUCAGGAAGCGCCCGCGGGUCUCGAACCCCAGAAGAGGGAUUGGAAGUCAGACAUGACUUGACGCGAAGUAACCGCUGAGCUGAAGCCGACCCGCGGGAGUGGUGCUUCUAGAAACCUCUAAACUAUAGUGGAGUGACGUGGAGGGGCCGGGCUGCAGAUGCUCCACGCCUUCGGGCUGUUUAUGUCACCCGGUCCGCCUGCUCCCUGCUGCUGCGCCCCUGAUCAGAGCUGGUCGGAGGAGUCACGGAAGGCCUCUCGGUGCCGCCGCCCCAGCUCUGCCAGCAACGCAGAUAAAAGGGACCGGGAAUCCGUGGCGGGAGCAGAGACCUCUAAUCGUGGUCAGAGCGCCCCUGAGCAGACGCGGGUAGUCCAAGGCCUUCCAUAAAAUCGCCCACGAGCAGCUGCGAGCUUGCCAAGGGCUGAGACCCGCUCACUUCAUUACUGUGCCAGGCCCUGGGCUGGGCCCUGGGGACACGGAGUUCGUGAUCAACGAGUGGUUGUUUGGAUGGGGCGGGCCUGCUACAGCACCUGGCAGUGGGGAGCGCUCAGCAUUUGUGGAAUGAAUGGAUCAGUGAGUAAAUAAAUGACACUAACAAGCAGGAGUAGGACGGACGGAGCAGGACAGAUGCUGAAAGCUAGCAGAGGGUAAAGCAGGGGGUUGGCUCCCUUUCCCUUUAGAUGCCCUUCCGUGAUCAACAAGAAAACAUUUUCCCAGCUUUGAUUGUGAUGAAAACACCCAUCAACUGGGUCGAACAAGGAGCAGUGCAUCCCUACAAUGCAGUGCAAUGCAGCAGUGAACAAAAAUGGCACCAGUUCCCACAAACCAAUAUGGAAAGAUGCCC
Long non-coding RNA from Manis pentadactyla (Chinese pangolin), 888 nucleotides. RefSeq lists it as uncharacterized. Lineage: Eukaryota; Metazoa; Chordata; Mammalia; Pholidota; Manidae. The record is from RefSeq and is a predicted model, not a curated record. The transcript has 3 exons.